Molecule: long non-coding RNA, 505 nt
Filed under: Brassica napus (rape)
Lineage: Eukaryota; Viridiplantae; Streptophyta; Magnoliopsida; Brassicales; Brassicaceae
Description: long non-coding RNA (BNAP_LNC024138)
Source: RNAcentral
CUUCAGGUGUGGAUAAUGUGACCGGUAUUCCAUCGGUGGACUGUUGGGUCAGUUGGGUUUGGUGGUCUUCAAUCCAAGCAACCACCUCGUUGUAGAUUUGCUCGGACCUAGGAUCUACAAAUUGCCCAGUCUUGUCCUUGUGGGUCCCCUCGUAAAGAUCCCAAAGAGACGGGAGUCCCGUCUCUUUGGCCUAAAAAACAUUUAAGAAAGUUAGAAUAUAUUUUUAAACAAAUUAAUUAAUUAAAAUAUUUACCAUAUCCAAAUGGACACCGACGUGGGGUUUUUGACCGGUAUAGUAAAGCAUCGGCCCAUUGUCGUGCUCAUCUUUCGUUAGACAGGAGGCAGAGCAACUGUAGGAGACUUUAAUGGACGAUGGCAGGAUCCAAUAAGGGAUGAGGUCAUCCCACACAUCCUUGGUGAGCUCAACGGGUUUUCCCUGCUCAUAACCUUUCACGAUCCAAUAAUUCGUCCAGUUGGAUACCGUGUCCAACAAUCGACCUUUCGC